Molecule: unclassified non-coding RNA, 350 nt
Filed under: Hevea brasiliensis (rubber tree)
Lineage: Eukaryota; Viridiplantae; Streptophyta; Magnoliopsida; Malpighiales; Euphorbiaceae
Source: RNAcentral
AAUAAUUAUUAAAUGAUUAAAAAAUUCUACUUAAACAAAAGAAAAACAAGGAAAAACAAGGGGAAAUCACAGCACCAUCACAGUUCAAAAUUUCAUAGUUGGGUACCAGUCAAAGCCUUCAUCUGAAUGUGAUUAGAAUCAGAAGCAAUAGUACGCAAAGCCUCGUAUGAAGCCAAUCCCCUGAUCCUAAUCCUAGCCAUAACAGCGUAUGUAGCCAUAACAAUGAGAACCACAAAAGUGACAUGAACACAAAAACCAGGUCCGAAAUAGCCACAGCCCUCAGCCUAGACUCUUCCGGAUCACGCCGCAUUAAGCAACGACAUUCCUCAGGAAUAAACGCUUCAACAUAA